Molecule: long non-coding RNA, 789 nt
Organism: Zophobas morio
Lineage: Eukaryota; Metazoa; Arthropoda; Insecta; Coleoptera; Tenebrionidae
Exons: 7
Source: RefSeq, a predicted model, not a curated record
UCACCUAACCGUUGUGCUGGGAAACUCUUGGCUAGAGAACUACGUUGGUAUUUUUGAGGGCGAGACUUUAUGCAAAAUCCAUUAAAGACCCAAAAUGAAAUCAUGUAGUCGGGAAACAAAUGCUCUUAGCGCUGAACCAACUUUCAGUCCUGGUGAGAAUAGACUUAGGCAUGGAUUCCCGCAGUGGGUUUUGCGGAAAAGGAAGGAUUAGCUAAAAACUUAAUUCUUGCCGAUGUUAUAGAAAACUACUUGAAAGCUGCCUACUAGAUUAUAUGGCGAAUUUUAGAAACUUUAUUCUGCUUUCUGCUAUGUUAGGACUCGUUACUCAAUAACAUUUCUUUCUCUAUAAGAUGUAAUCUCGUAGAGCAUAAUGCAAGUGUUUAAAUUUAACUCUCUCCCUUAAAAGGAAUAUAAAAGGGAACAUGACAGCUAAUGAAACAGUCUUUUAUAAUAAUAAAAAAAUGAUUUCCCACCACGCUAAGUGGGAGCCCACCUUAAAGUACAGGAAACUUUUGACCUUUUAACUAGGAUAGCUCGGAGGUUUGAGGGCCCGGACCCUUACUUUUUUUUCGGAGACCCUGUGGACCACUAGAUCCCUUUGGACUUAGGUCUUAGAUGAGCUCAAAGCCUUCGGGAAAUUAAACGCGUCCUUCCCCUCGCAAGCGAUGGACCCUUGUUCUGUCAUGAUCGAUUGCAACUUCAAAAAAAAGCGCCGCCAGUUGGAGGUAUUUUUCAUAUGAAAUUUUUUAGCUGAACUUCAUUACCCCAACAUAUCCGUGCAAAACUUAG